This 567-nucleotide long non-coding RNA is filed under the name Equus caballus (horse). Its description in RNAcentral is "lncRNA (ENSECAG00000031176.3)". The record is from RNAcentral. Lineage: Eukaryota; Metazoa; Chordata; Mammalia; Perissodactyla; Equidae.
CCUUAUCCUCCUUCUCUGCUUAUUUUUUUUCCUAGCCCCUAUCACCUUCUAUCAUACCAUUUAUUUAUUUUGUUUAUUGUCUCUCUCUUCAGACUAGGAGGUAAGCUCCAACAGAGUAGGGAUCUCGUUUGUGGUGUUCACUGCAGUACCCUCAGUCCCAGGAGUAGUGCCAAGUUUUUAGAAGUGAAGAAAUGUAAAAGCCCAAGCUCACUAGGGAACUGGACAUGUGAAAAACCCUCCAACCUGAAACACUGGGGAUAUUGGUGAUCUAAAGCCUCUGAGCCUGGAUUGUAAUCCCUCUAUCCUCUUGCCGAUUCCCUUAAUCUCAGCACUUCAGUCAGUCGGAAGCUGCCACGAGAGGACAAGAUUUUCCUGGCCACAGAUGCUUUUGGAGUUUCCCUUCUACAGAAGAAUUUCAGGCAGGUUUCCAACAUCUUACAGCGACAAUUCAACUUUGUCCCUGGCAUGUAAGAAAAGUCUCUUCCUGCUUGGAGUUCUACUGGAAAACUAACCCACCGCGGCUGAGAAACACGAUUGCUGGCAAAGUUUCUCUGCAGCAACACCAGG